GACGAACGCUGGCGGCGCGCUUUAUACAUGCAAGUCGAACGAGAAGCCAGAGCUUGCUCUGGUGGAAGGUGGCGAACGGGUGAGUAACACGUGAGAAACCUGCCCAAAGACUGGGAUAAGCCGAGGAAACUUGGUCUAAUACCGGAUACCUUCUUUUUAUCACAUGUUAAAAAGAAGAAAUGCUCCGGCGCUUUGGGAUGGUCUCGCGACCUAUCAGCUUGUUGGUGAGGUAAAAGCUCACCAAGGCAUCGACGGGUAGCUGGUCUGAGAGGAUGUCCAGCCACAUUGGGACUGAGAUACGGCCCAAACUCCUACGGGGAGCAGCAGUAGGGAAUCUUGCACAAUGAGGGAAACCUUGAUGCAGCGACGCCGCGUGCGGGACGAAGGCCCUAGGGUUGUAAACCGCUUUCAGUAGGGACGAAAGUGACGGUACCUACAGAAGAAGACCCCGGCCAACUAUGUGCCAGCAGCCGCGGUAAU
Molecule: ribosomal RNA, 480 nt
Filed under: uncultured bacterium
Lineage: Bacteria
Description: bacterial SSU rRNA
Rfam family: Bacterial small subunit ribosomal RNA
Source: RNAcentral